Molecule: RNA transcript, 3317 nt
Organism: Rhodamnia argentea
Lineage: Eukaryota; Viridiplantae; Streptophyta; Magnoliopsida; Myrtales; Myrtaceae
Gene name: nuclear intron maturase 1, mitochondrial-like
Exons: 3
Source: RefSeq, a predicted model, not a curated record
AAUUGAGAUUUAGUCCCUAUCAAAUAAAUAAAUUUUCGCAAUUCAUGAUUAAAGUCGUUCAUUUUGCCCUAGCCAUGGAGGGAGGAGUCAUGUCCGGUUCACUACAGUGGAACCACGAUGAAGCCCAGCUUUUCCCGACCGGCGGCUGCUUUUCUAGAUCUCGUAUCUUCAGGUUGGAGAGCAGCUCCGAAGACGUUGAUGGUUGAUGCUGAAGUUGAAGGGUGGUCGUUUCCCAUGCUGUCGAGGAGAUAAAGCGAUGUCGAGGAGGAAUUUCAUCAAACACCUAUCCUGCACUGUUCCUCCUGCCAUCCCUCGGGCGUUGUCCCGGCCUUUUGCCUCGCUCCCGACGCUUUCCCGCCAAAGCAGCCAAGGAGCUCACCAGAACCAAGUGAUUCAAGAUCCGUAUUCUCUCCUUAAGGAGGAUCCCGUCGACCUUGUUUCUUCUUUAUGGGUGAAAUCCUUCUCUUCACCAACCAACAUCGUCUUCCCGAACCUCACGGGCUUCCUGGCGAAAUUUGACCUCUGGGUCCUCGCCUACCAACGGACUUGUGCUCAUGCGACUGGCACAUUCCCGCCUCGCAAUGCCAUUCAUUUCAGCGCUCUCCAUUCUCUCCUAUCCCUCAGAAAUGCAGUUACUCGCAACCAAUUCAAGUGGAACGACAAGACCCAUCAGCUGGUUCGCAGCCCUUUUGAUAAAACAGGCACGAGGCUAAUCUCUAAAACUAAGCUUAGGGCCAUAUUGGAGUCGAGCGAGCCCUGUUUCCAAGAUAGGGUGGUCCAAGAGGUUCUACUCAUGAUUCUCGAGCCGGUUUUUGAGGCUCGGUUUUCUGUAAAAUCACAUGCUUUUCGGCCAGGAAGAAAUGCCCAUACUGUUAUUAGGACAAUUCGGAGUAAUUUUUCGGGGUAUUUGUGGUUCUUGAAGGGUGAUGUAUCUGAAAUAUUGAACAGUUUGGACAUAAAUGUGGUGAUGGGUCUCUUGGAGAAGGCUAUCAAAGAUAGAAGAGUGAUGGGACUGAUCAAGUCAGCAUUCAGAGCCACGGUCAGGAAUCAAGUGCCAAGGGAUGACAAUGAGAAAUUGAGAACAAAGAAGAAAAAGGGGACCAAGAAGAAGAUUCUGCAAGAGAACGAGCCAAAACCAGAUCCUUUCUGGUUAAGGACCUUUUUCGACUUUGCACCUGAGGAGGCUGCCAAGGUACCCGAUUAUGGUUGUUGUGGCAUUAUAAGUCCUUUACUUGCUAAUGUUUGUCUGAAUGAACUGGAUCAUUUCAUGGAACAGAAGAUUAUUGAGUUCUUCAAACCAUCUCAGUUUGAUUCCAUAUGGAAAAGUUCAAUUGAUGAUGGAUGUCAUAAUCCUUCUUGGCCUGAGUUUGUUCCUUCUAGUGGGAAAGAGAAGACAAGGAAAAUGGAUUAUAUUAGGUAUGGGGGUCAUUUCUUGAUAGGAAUUCGAGGGCCUAGAGAUGAUGCAGUGCAAAUACGGAAGGAAAUUAUUGAAUUCUGCGAUGUACAAUUUGGUUUGAGGCUGGAUAAUUCCAAGUUGGAGAUAGAGCAUAUCAGUAGAGGUAUCCAGUUCUUGGACCACAUUAUCUGCCGUCGAGUAAUACACCCAACACUCAGGUACACCUCUACUGGAGGCAAAAUCGUGAGUGAAAAAGGUGUGGGCACUCUGCUUUCAGUUACUGCUAGCUUACAGCAAUGCAUUCGUCAAUUCAGGCGUCUUAAGUUUGUUAAGGGUGAUAAGGAUCCUGAGCCAUUACCUUGCACUCCAAUGCUUUACUCCAGUCAAGCUCAUUCAAAUGCUCAAAUGAAUAAGUUUCUGGAGACCAUGGCAGAUUGGUACAGAUAUGCUGACAAUCGCAAGAAAGUUGUGGGAUUUUGUGCUUAUGUGAUUCGAAGCUCUCUAGCUAAACUCUAUGCCGCGAGGUACAGACUAAAAUCUCGUGCCAAGGUAUAUAAAAUAGCUUCGCGUAACCUUAGCCGCCCAUUAAGAGAGAGUAGCAACAAUUCUGCGCCUGAAUAUUCUGAUCUUUUGAGGAUGGGGCUUGUUGAUGCAAUUGAAGGCGUUCAGUUCUCACACAUGUCUUUGAUUCCCUCCUGUGAUUACACUCCCUUUCCUAGAAACUGGGUUCCUCAUCACGAAAGGGUAUUGCGUGAGUAUAUCAAACUGGAAGAUCCUAAAUUUUUCUGUGAGAUACAUAGAUCGAUAAAGAGGCGGGGUUUGAGUUUGCCUCAAGAUGAGGUAUCUGAUAUUGUAUGGGACUGUAAAGUUCGUGGCUUAAGGCGUCAUCAAAUUGAUGUGUGAAGAUAAAACGAUCAAACUCUUUUAGUCUUGGCUCAAGGUUCUGUAGCAUACUAGUCGACUUAUGAAACUUACCAAUUUCCACCUUGCUAUAUUUAAUGCCUAGGAAGAAGUCUCCUUGGAAGAAUGAGUUAAAAUCCUGGGGUGCCAAAGGGAGGACUCCUAAAAGUGAGUUUGAAGUUUUUUCGCCUUAUUAAUCCCAGAGGCAGUGGUGGAAAUGUGAGCAGUGCCUCAAAUUGGGUAAGUUCAUGGUAUCUUCGAUCUUCAUUAAUGUACCUCAUCUAUCUCUAGUCAGAAACCUUGAAAAAUCCCAUCUGAAUUUUUCAUUAAUGAGUAAAAAUGUCUUAGCCAAAAUUAAACAAUUUCGAUAAAAUACAGUCCAUAAACAAAGUACCACCAGUUUGCCUUUACAAAAGGGAAAGAGUAAAUUUAUUCUGGGUUUGUAUUAGAAUGAUCUUGCAUAUUUUGCAAAAGUGAUCAUUGUAGGCUUGAUCUUCAGGCCUUGUGAUUUCCUUAUGCCCUUAGGAAGAUUACAUGAUUAAUUUCUACAGAUGCAUCCGAUCCUGAGUAAAUAUAUCUUGUCGUAAUUUGUAAAUUUUAUACAUCGUGCUAGCCGAAUGAAGCAGUUCACUUGGAAACUUGCUUUUUGCCCAUCUAAGCUCUUUGGCCUGUGUUCAGAAUCCUUUAAGUUACUGAGAGAAUGGCCAAAACACCAUCCCCCAACCAGUGCAGAGUUGUGAUCUAUUGAGUGGUCAUUUUUCAUCUUCCCUGCUGCAAAUGGAUCUUUUUCUUCUUUGCAUGAAGGUUUUCAUUGGACAGCCAGGUGGCUCUUGAGACCUAUGAGAUUCCAUAUUAUCUCUAUUCUUGCCUUCAGUAUGUGGGUUUGGGUUACCCUUCAGGUUACUAGAAAUCGCCAGGUACUGGAUCUGUUACCCUGAUAGUUUAUCCUCCAUGCCAAAUUUUGCCGAUUCUUGACUAUAUGGGAAUGGGAUAAGUGCACCACAAACCUUAAAACUUACUG